UACGUAGGGGGCAAGCGUUAUCCGGAUUUACUGGGUGUAAAGGGAGCGUAGACGGCUCUGCAAGUCUGAUGUGAAAGCCCGGGGCUCAACCCCGGGACUGCAUUGGAAACUGCGGAGCUAGAGUGCAGGAGAGGUAAGUGGAAUUCCUAGUGUAGCGGUGAAAUGCGUAGAUAUUAGGAGGAACACCAGUGGCGAAGGCGGCUUACUGGACUGUAACUGACGUUGAGGCUCGAAAGCGUGGGGAGCAAACAGG
RNAcentral lists this ribosomal RNA (253 nucleotides) under uncultured bacterium. Its description in RNAcentral is "partial 16S ribosomal RNA". It matches the Rfam family "Bacterial small subunit ribosomal RNA", at positions 524 to 776 of the family's 1533-position model. RNAcentral also lists the same sequence under 1 other name. The record is from RNAcentral.